UCGGGAUAGCUCAGCUGGUAGACCAGAGGACUGAAA
Molecule: transfer RNA, 36 nt
Filed under: Streptocarpus fanniniae
Lineage: Eukaryota; Viridiplantae; Streptophyta; Magnoliopsida; Lamiales; Gesneriaceae
Description: partial tRNA-Phe
Source: RNAcentral